RNAcentral lists this long non-coding RNA (346 nucleotides) under Setaria viridis. Its description in RNAcentral is "long non-coding RNA (SVIR_LNC006821)". The record is from RNAcentral. Lineage: Eukaryota; Viridiplantae; Streptophyta; Magnoliopsida; Poales; Poaceae.
GCAUAGGUACAACAUCAAAAUCAGCAUAGUCAUUAUAGGAUCCAAUAGAAAAAUGCACGUGCACUGAUCUAGUUACCUUUGUCUUACCACUGUUGUUGAACCAUUGUAGUAGGUAUGUGUUGACAACAUAUUAGAGGCUCACGUGUGGAAGAAAGAAGGAGCAAGGAUCUGAUGGCAAUACGAAAAAAGGAAGCUUAAUUAAUUAGGACUUUACGUAAGGAAAGUUGGAGUCCGUGUAUCUUAAUAUUUCUUUUUGUUUAGAUAUUUCGUAUCAGGUAGUUUUGAUACGGUUCGUUCUAGAAGUUGUUAGUUCAGAGUAUAAAUAUGUACCUUCGGUCAUUAUAAA